UCCCUAGUGGCUCAGAUGGUAAAGAAUCUGCCUGCAAUGCAGGAGACUCAGGUUUGAUUCCUGGGUUGGGAA
Molecule: transfer RNA, 72 nt
Filed under: Capra hircus (goat)
Lineage: Eukaryota; Metazoa; Chordata; Mammalia; Artiodactyla; Bovidae
Also listed under: 1 other name
Rfam family: tRNA
About the family: Transfer RNA (tRNA) molecules are approximately 80 nucleotides in length.
Source: Rfam by way of RNAcentral